This 445-nucleotide ribosomal RNA is filed under the name uncultured bacterium. Its description in RNAcentral is "partial 16S ribosomal RNA". It matches the Rfam family "Bacterial small subunit ribosomal RNA", at positions 30 to 523 of the family's 1533-position model. The record is from RNAcentral.
CGAACGCUGGCGGCAGGCCUAAUACAUGCAAGUCGAACGGCUCUUCGGAGCAGUGGCGGACGGGUGAGUAACGCGUGGGAAUGUGUCCUUUGGAACGGAACAACACAGGGAAACUUGUGCUAAUACCGUAUGUGCCCUUCGGGGGAAAGAUUUAUCGCCAUUGGAGCAGCCCGCGUUGGAUUAGGUAGUUGGUGAGGUAAAGGCUCACCAAGCCUACGAUCCAUAGCUGGUCUGAGAGGAUGACCAGCCACACUGGGACUGAGACACGGCCCAGACUCCUACGGGAGGCAGCAGUAGGGAAUCUUGCGCAAUGGGCGAAAGCCUGACGCAGCCAUGCCGCGUGUAUGAUGAAGGUCUUAGGAUUGUAAAAUACUUUCACCGGGGAAGAUAAUGACGGUACCCGGAGAAGAAGCCCCGGCUAACUUCGUGCCAGCAGCCGCGGUAA